Homo sapiens (human) is the source of this 399-nucleotide long non-coding RNA. Lineage: Eukaryota; Metazoa; Chordata; Mammalia; Primates; Hominidae. The record is from Ensembl.
AGUUGAAGGAAAGAGUUGGCAACCGGGAUGCUAAUUUAGAAGUUCUAAGGUAUUCUCCACCUGUAAUCUAUUGCUCCAGAAUUCUGCAGGAACAUUUGAACUGGUAAGGAAAGAAUGCCUCAAGUGAGCAUGUGUACAACUCCAGUAAACACACUGUGCAUGCAGCCUCUCCCAAAUUCUGGCAGGCUACUGGGCAUGUGGAAAACCCAUCCCAAGAGAAGAAUCACGGGAGAAGGAAUGCAAGAACCCAGAAGCAUGCCAACAUAUAAAACCCUGAGUCAAAGAUCAAACUGGGAACUUGGAUCUCUUAAGUCACCUGCUUGGCCCUUUUCCAAGUGUACUUUACUUCCUUUCAUUCCUGCUCUAAAGUUUUUAAUAAACUUUUCCUCCUACUCUAAA